RNAcentral lists this ribosomal RNA (78 nucleotides) under Desulfotomaculum sp. RNAcentral describes it as "partial 16S ribosomal RNA". It matches the Rfam family "Bacterial small subunit ribosomal RNA", at positions 1 to 76 of the family's 1533-position model. Lineage: Bacteria; Bacillati; Bacillota; Clostridia; Eubacteriales; Desulfotomaculaceae. The record is from RNAcentral.
UUUUUAUGGAGAGUUUGAUCCUGGCUCAGGACUAACGCUGGCGGCGUGCUUAACACAUGCAAGUCGAACGGUCUGGCA